This 353-nucleotide ribosomal RNA is filed under the name uncultured bacterium. Its description in RNAcentral is "bacterial LSU rRNA". It matches the Rfam family "Bacterial large subunit ribosomal RNA", at positions 114 to 487 of the family's 2925-position model. The record is from RNAcentral.
CUGAAUGGGGCAACCCACCUGACUGUUUGUUAUUGUUAGCUCUGCUAUCAAUAAUGAGCAUAAACAGGUACUUAUUACCUGAAUACAUAGGGUUUUAAGAGCAAACCCGGGGAACUGAAACAUCUAAGUACCCGGAGGAAAGGACAUCAAUUGAUACUCCCCUAGUAGCGGCGAGCGAACGGGGACCAGCCGAGCCAUAAUUGCGACCAGAACAUUCUGGAAAGGAUGACCAUAGUGGGUGACAGUCCCGUAUGGGAAGCAUGAUUGGACGUAUUAAGUAGGGCGGAACACGUGAAAUUCUGUCUGAAGAUCGGAGGACCACCUCCGAAGGCUAAGUACUCCUUACUGACCGA